Molecule: ribosomal RNA, 678 nt
Filed under: Crustoderma marianum
Lineage: Eukaryota; Fungi; Basidiomycota; Agaricomycetes; Polyporales
Description: eukaryotic LSU rRNA
Rfam family: 5.8S ribosomal RNA (bases 262-415)
Source: RNAcentral
UGGUCCAUUUAGAGGAAGUAAAAGUCGUAACAAGGUUUCCGUAGGUGAACCUGCGGAAGGAUCAUUAAUGAAUUGUCAUCGGUCCGGUUGUCGCUGGCCCUCCGGGGCAUGUGCACACCGGUCCGAACACGAUCUUAAACCUGUGCACCCAUGGCGGAGAGGGGUGUUUCUGGAGCUCUUCGGGGCUUUGGAACACCUUUUUCCUGCUCUUACACACUCUGCAUGUCUAGAAUGUCUUCUGCGUUUGACGCAAUUAAAUACAACUUUCAGCAACGGAUCUCUUGGCUCUCGCAUCGAUGAAGAACGCAGCGAAAUGCGAUAAGUAAUGUGAAUUGCAGAAUUCAGUGAAUCAUCGAAUCUUUGAACGCACCUUGCACGCUCCGGUAUUCCGGAGCGUACGCCUGUUUGAGUGUCGUGGCAUCAUCAACCCUAUCGGCUUGUGUCGGUAGAGGCUUGGAUCUGGAGGUGUGCCGGGCUUUGCAGCCUGGCUCCUCUUAAAUGCAUUAGCUGGGACCUUGGUCCGCGAGGCUUUGACGUGAUAGUAAUGUUACGUCGUUGUCCUGCGACCUCUCGUGUCGUCGCUUAUAGUCGUCCGUGAAGGACAAGCGUGUAUGCGCUUUUUUGACCUUGACCUCAAAUCAGGCGGGACUACCCGCUGAACUUAAGCAUAUCAAUAAG